GUAGGUAGUCGGUCUCCCCUUGCCUUCCCUCUCUGCAACCCCCUCUAGAGUUCCUAAAUAAGCUUAUUUAGGAACCACCCUCCUAACCUGUUUCUUUUCCCGAAGGGAGCGACCGAGCGAGCGAGCGGCACGGUAGCGACGCGAGGGAGCGAGCGAGCUCUGGUCUGCCGCCGGCUGUUGCGUGCCCCCAGCCACCCCAACCACCUUCUCCACGUGCCGGCGCUGCCGCUUGCCGCUAGAUGCAGCCAGUCCUGGCCAUGCCGCCGCCUCGCGUGUAGUACUCCAACACCGGCCGACGCAGCCGCGCUCCACCACCAACCCGCCCGCGCGCACCAUUCUUUGACCUCCCCCGCUUCUACAGGCAGUCUGCUGCGUGCGGUGCUCCUCCAGGUUCCUCCCUGGCUUCCCCACUUGCGUCGCAGGCCACAACCCCUCCUCCCUCCUGCAUCCUGCCACGCGACAGUCUGCAGCGGGCUUCCUCUCCACGCCAUUCCGACCACCAGAUCCACGCGAGCUCGCCCUUUAGCCAUGGUUUCGGGCGUUGACUCUCGCCACUGUGCCUUCCCGGCCCCAUCGAAGCCAGGUGCCGCUGCCGUGGGGAGGUGGGUGGAGAGCACCCUUCUUUAGGCCCGUGGUGGGUGGCCUACUCCCUCUCCGGUGACAUAGCCCUGCCCAUCUCGGAUCUAGCUCCAGUGACACCUUCCCCAUGCCAUCGUUCCAGUGGAGGCGCAGAAGCUUGUUCCGGUGGUGACUUCCUGCUUUUCAGUUAACUUUAGUAGCGCUAAAACUCUUUGCCUCCUUCAGUUAACUUGCUCUUCAUGUCCUAGAUGGAUCUCGUCCUCGAGCAGUUCAUGGUGUGGAUCUCCGGCGGUUAGCUUUUGGGUUUCUUCUACUCCUCCGACCUGGGCUCUGUAGUCUGCAAUUAUUUGGGGGUUAUCUGUAGCUACUAGUUUGCUUGAACUGAAUAAGGAGUUGACUGAGCCGGCCAUUUCAGUUAGCUCAAACCGAAGAAAAAAAGCAUUUACUGACGUGAUGUGUAUAGGUUACAAGGAUGCGUGUAUGUGUACUUGGAUGUUCAGUUCUUACUUGCAAAUAAUGUUGUGUCAAGAGUCAACACAUCCCUGUCCGGUUUAUUAUUUUGGGGAUCCAGUGAUUUUUUUUCCUGUUAGCAGUUAACUUCUGCUCCGUUGCGUCGGGGACCGACGAGGUGCUGGACCCCUCAUGGGGAUUUACUGGUGGAGCGACCUCUCUACAGCUAGCUCAAUUUCAUGGAUAAGUUAGCUAAGUUUCAAGGAGCAGUUUGCUUUACUGAUAGUUAUGUAAAAAAAGAAACAGAGACCACUGCUCAAUUAUCUCUUGCCCCCAUGCUACCAGCAGUGUGAUCCACGGUGCGCAGUUUGCCAAUGCUCAAUUUCAUGGAGUAGUUAGUUCAGGGACUGGCUGCAGUUAUCUUGCUUCCAAAAAAAUUAAGUGAUGUACACAACUAUGAUUUUGCCAAGCCCCUGCUUGCGUGAGGUACAAAAAAUAGCAAUCUAAUGAGAGGGUUCAGUUUGUUUGCCAA
This is a long non-coding RNA of Triticum aestivum (bread wheat), 1561 nucleotides long. RefSeq lists it as uncharacterized. The record is from RefSeq and is a predicted model, not a curated record. NCBI's taxonomy places the organism in Eukaryota, Viridiplantae, Streptophyta, Magnoliopsida, Poales, Poaceae. The transcript has 2 exons.